RNAcentral lists this ribosomal RNA (714 nucleotides) under uncultured Capnocytophaga sp. Its description in RNAcentral is "bacterial SSU rRNA". It matches the Rfam family "Bacterial small subunit ribosomal RNA", at positions 62 to 779 of the family's 1533-position model. Lineage: Bacteria; Pseudomonadati; Bacteroidota; Flavobacteriia; Flavobacteriales; Flavobacteriaceae. The record is from RNAcentral.
UCGAGGGAGAAGCCCUUCGGGGCAGAAACCGGCGCACGGGUGCGUAACGCGUAUGCAACCUACCUUUCACAGGGGGAUAGCCCGAAGAAAUUUGGAUUAAUACCCCAUAGAAUAAUGGUAUGGCAUCAUAUUAUUAUUAAAGCUACGGUGGUGAAAGAUGAGUAUGCGUUCUAUUAGCUAGUUGGAGAGGUAACGGCUCCCCAAGGCUACGAUAGAUAGGGGUUCUGAGAGGGAUGUCCCCCACACUGGUACUGAGAUACGGACCAGACUCCUACGGGAGGCAGCAGUGAGGAAUAUUGGACAAUGGUCGGAAGACUGAUCCAGCCAUGCCGCGUGCAGGAUGAAGGUCUUAUGGAUUGUAAACUGCUUUUGCAGGGGAAGAAUAAGGACUACGUGUAGUUUGAUGACGGUACUCUGUGAAUAAGCAUCGGCUAACUCCGUGCCAGCAGCCGCGGUAAUACGGAGGAUGCGAGCGUUAUCCGGAAUCAUUGGGUUUAAAGGGUCUGUAGGCGGGCUGGUAAGUCAGAGGUGAAAGCGCUCAGCUCAACUGAGCAACUGCCUUUGAAACUGUUGGUCUUGAAUGGUUGUGAAGUAGUUGGAAUGUGUAGUGUAGCGGUGAAAUGCUUAGAUAUUACACAGAACACCGAUAGCGAAGGCAUAUUACUAACAAUUAAUUGACGCUGAUGGACGAAAGCGUGGGGAGCGAACAGGAUU